CACACACGCACACGUACGCAUGCAAACACAUACACACCAGAGGCGGCUGGUGGUUUUUAAAGUGAGGGAGGAAGGACUGCGCGCUUGGUUGCCAUUGGCCUGCUUGCACUGUUGGUGAUUGGUGGCAUAAGAAUGUGAGACUCAAGUUGUUUCAGGGUGUUUUGGUGAACUACAAAAUAGCAGGGAGGGAGUUAUGUGAACAAAAUGUAUACAAAGCCACCAGUGGCAUCACUGUCAUUUGAGAAGGAAAGGAUGCAAAGCAUAUUAGUCAAAUCAGGCCUACUAUUGAUUUGUAAAAGUAAAUAAAAAAAUCUGGGCCUAUCAUUGGGCCUAUUUUUGCCCUCACUGACUGAAGUUAUUUAGCUAUGUUUAUUUUCAGUUACAAUUGCUUGUAAUGCUACCAGUAAGUCAUUGCGUACCUAGCAAACCAUGUAGCACUCACAACACUGACGUUGCCAUUACUUCUGGUGACCUUGAUUUUGGGAAGUGGUCUACCUCUUUCUUUGGUCGCUAACUUAGCACUGUAACUGAAUGAAUGGAAUGCUUUUUGUAAUAAGACGUUAACAAUGUCCUCAGUUUCCAAUGUUUCCAUUGUGCAUUUAGGAUCUCGCUAUCGCAGAUUUCACUUGCUCUGCGUCUCUCAGACUGAGCACCGCGGCAACGAAGACCGGGUUUGUUAUCGACAGCGUUGCCAGAUUGGGCAGAUUUCCCGCCCAAUGAUAAUUCUUCCAGCCUAACAUGGUUAAAAGUAGCCCAAUUGGACGGAUAGAUUUUUUGCGCGAAUCAGACCCCUUAAGGUCCCACCCACUCAGAGGAGGACUUUCCUCCUCUCUCCCAUUGAAACCCAUUUUAUCCACCGGCCGCCAGUACUUUCGGGAAAAUGAAUGGGAGUCAACGGAGGCGGAGGGAGGACGUUCCUCCCUGAAGUAAUAGUCAAAAGGCGAUAGGGGGUGCUAAUGUCCCUUUAC
Molecule: long non-coding RNA, 968 nt
Organism: Gadus macrocephalus (Pacific cod)
Lineage: Eukaryota; Metazoa; Chordata; Actinopteri; Gadiformes; Gadidae
Exons: 2
Source: RefSeq, a predicted model, not a curated record